AAAAAUGUUCGGCAAAACAAGAGAAAUCUUGCGACGCAAAGUUAUAUGACUUUCAGAGUUUUAGGCAGCAAGUUGCAUUC
This 80-nucleotide non-coding RNA is filed under the name Eubacterium ruminantium. Its description in RNAcentral is "c-di-GMP sequence". It matches the Rfam family "c-di-GMP-I riboswitch aptamer". From Rfam's summary of the family: GEMM was predicted in a large-scale screen for bacterial structured RNA regulatory elements. Genes associated with GEMM are involved in a diverse array of functions, including chemotaxis regulation, signal transduction, secretion and chitin. Lineage: Bacteria; Bacillati; Bacillota; Clostridia; Eubacteriales; Eubacteriaceae. The record is from Rfam by way of RNAcentral.